This 840-nucleotide ribosomal RNA is filed under the name Xanthoparmelia californica. RNAcentral's name for it is "eukaryotic LSU rRNA". It matches the Rfam family "Eukaryotic large subunit ribosomal RNA", at positions 81 to 936 of the family's 3401-position model. RNAcentral also lists the same sequence under 1 other name. The record is from RNAcentral. Lineage: Eukaryota; Fungi; Ascomycota; Lecanoromycetes; Lecanorales; Parmeliaceae.
CAGUAACGGCGAGUGAAGCGGCAACAGCUCAAAUUUGAAAUCUGGCUCCUUCGGGGUCCGAAUUGUAAUUUGUAGAGAGUGCUUCGGGCGAGACCUCGGUCUAAGUCCAUUGGAACAUGGUGUCAUAGAGGGUGAGAAUCCCGUAUGCGACCGUGGCUCGAGCCCAUGUGAAGCCUCUUCGACGAGUCGAGUUGUUUGGGAAUGCAGCUCAAAACGGGUGGUAAAUUUCAUCUAAAGCUAAAUACUGGCUGGAGACCGAUAGCGCACAAGUAGAGUGAUCGAAAGAUGAAAAGCACUUUGGAAAGAGAGUCAAACAGUACGUGAAAUUGUUGAAAGGGAAGCGCUUGCAACCAGACCUGCCCGUAGGCGAUCAGCCGCUGUUCUCAGCGGUGCACUCGCUCUGCGAUCAGGCCAGCAUCGGUUUCGGCGGUCGGAUAAAGGCCUUGGGAAUGUAGCUUCCCUUCGGGGGAGUCUUAUAGCCCUCGGUGCAAUGCGGCCAGCCGGGACCGAGGACCGCGCUUCGGCUAGGAUGCUGGCGUAAUGGUUGUAAGCGACCCGUCUUGAAACACGGACCAAGGAGUCUAACAUCUAUGCGAGUGUUUGGGUGUCAAACCCAUACGCGGAAUGAAAGUGAACGGAGGUGAGAACCCUCAAGGGCGCAUCAUCGACCGAUCCAGAUGUCUUCGGAUGGAUUUGAGUAUGAGCAUAGCUGUUGGGACCCGAAAGAUGGUGAACUAUGCCUGAAUAGGGUGAAGCCAGAGGAAACUCUGGUGGAGGCUCGCAGCGGUUCUGACGUGCAAAUCGAUCGUCAAAUUUGGGUAUAGGGGCGAAAGACUAAUC